UACGAAGGGGGCAAGCGUUGUUCGGAAUUACUGGGCGUAAAGGGCGCGCAGGCGGCCUGCCAAGUCAGAUGUGAAAGCCCCGGGCUCAACCUGGGAAUGGCAUUUGGGACUGGCGGGCUAGAGGUCGGGAGAGGAGAGUGGAAUUCCCAGUGUAGAGGUGAAAUUCGUAGAUAUUGGGAAGAACACCGGUGGCGAAGGCGGCUCUCUGGACCGAUACUGACGCUGAGGCGCGAAAGCGUGGGGAGCAAACAGG
RNAcentral lists this ribosomal RNA (253 nucleotides) under uncultured bacterium. RNAcentral describes it as "partial 16S ribosomal RNA". It matches the Rfam family "Bacterial small subunit ribosomal RNA", at positions 524 to 776 of the family's 1533-position model. The record is from RNAcentral.